AGCCACUUGCUCUGGCACCUUUCUGCCUCUGCACUGAAACAUGGGACAGCAGCUGCUUCGGAGCUGCCCCCACCGUGGUCAAAGGGAUUCAUCUGCACUUUAAACAUUCAGUGCACAGAAAAUGGAAUAGCAGUAUCUCCUUUCAUUUCCAUGCUCACCGACACACACUCAAACAGAGCGCUAUGCUUUUCCACAGUAUCUCACAGUACAUUUCUUUAUCUCUACUUUUCUCCCUCCUUCCUUCAUUAAGUCCUUCUUUAAGACUUAUUUUUCCUUGUGUUUAUUUUGGAACAUAUGAGUUAACCAAAUCUUUCUCCCUUUGUCUCUCAUCAGAGCCUUCAUUGCUUUACAUCCAUUGGGAAGAACUGAUCCAGUUAUCUCCCAAAUUGCAUUUCAGGAGCUGGCAAGCCUGACUUCACAGAUAAACUGGAGAGCACCCCAACUGAUGUAAAUGCAGGACACAGCUUUUCCUGCUUCAUUCGGCAGUAGAUGAUGAUUACUCAAUUUUGCUACAACAUUGAUUGCUACCAGAGGGAUCAGUGUGCUUUGCCAUCAUUUCCAAUAUUCAGUUGUUAUGUAGCGAUUGUUGUUGUCUAUUAUUUUAUGUUAGGGCAGCAAUUAGUACUCUCAGAGAUUGAUGCCUCUCAUCAGCACGCAAAAGACAGUUUCUCUUCCAUGUUUCUCACAGACUAAACAUAAGACAAGAGACAACAGAUAAAUCCAUCAAGCAGCCCAGAUACUGGAGAAAUGAUUAUUGAUGCAAUGAGUCACAGCAGUGCCUUAUUAUAAUUUCUGCAGGCUCUUUCUGGCUGCAGAAGACAGAAGCCCUUCGUUUGAUUUUCUUUCAUUUGGAGUAUAACAUGCUCCCUCUCCAUCAGAUCUACACUCUCAUUAUAUCUCAACAUCUGAUUCAAGAUUGGUGAAUGUAGUAAUGCAUCCCUCCCUGGAAAGGAGAUACAUUUUUAUAAAACAGCAAAAUCAGUAUUUUUCAGGACAACACUGACUACCCAAUUUCUAUUUAGUGGAAGUAUUUGGGUAGAUAUAAAGCCUACAUAACCCUGGACAGUGAUGUACUCUACUUGGUUGAAGGCAUACUCCUUUAGUAUUUUCAGAUGUCUCCAUUUUACUGUCAUCAUGAACUCUGCAGGCUUGGAUAACUCUGCUAGCACCCUCACAGUGCUGCAGAGGUCCUUAGGGAUAGGCUGCCGAAGAACCUUGAUGUAAUGAGCAUAAAGCAGUCCCACGCCAUGCCCUGGGCACUUUGAAGCCUGGAGCUAUUGCUGACCC
RNAcentral lists this long non-coding RNA (1287 nucleotides) under Gallus gallus (chicken). Lineage: Eukaryota; Metazoa; Chordata; Aves; Galliformes; Phasianidae. The record is from RNAcentral.